Molecule: ribosomal RNA, 405 nt
Filed under: Triticum aestivum (bread wheat)
Lineage: Eukaryota; Viridiplantae; Streptophyta; Magnoliopsida; Poales; Poaceae
Description: partial small subunit ribosomal RNA
Source: RNAcentral
AUGACUUGUAUGUUUUGCUCUGAGCCAGAAUCUUGCCAGCAUUUAUUUUUUGAAUGUGUAGUGUCGAUUGAACUCUGGAAAGGUAUUGGAGACAUAUCAGGAGCUGGCAAGGUCUCUGAUAUUGAGAACCUUGCGGCCUGGUGGGUUUCCAAUAAGAAACAUGCAGUUGUGAAUGCUUUGCAUGCCGCUGCAGUGUGGUCUCUCUGGAAGGUCAGGAAUAACCUGUGUUUCAAUCGCUCUGUGUGGUCUGGAAUGCAGGAAUUAUGGAGACAGGUGGCCGUGCAGCUUGCAGCAUGGGAGGUGCUGUUCCCAAACGAUGCAAAAAUCCAGGUUACUGCGAUGGUAAAAAACCUCGAGAAGCUUGCCAGAGAUCCUCCUAUGCUGAUGUGGCCAGACCCCGGUUGA